GCGUUUUAUGCUCAGCGAUAUGCUUCAUUUUGGACUCAGGGCUCACCUUUACAGACCUACGCUGUGCUUAUUCUCUGUUCUACGACCUCUCUCUACGUCUGUCCCCGAAAUGUCUAAGCCCCAGGUAUUUUUUGACAUCACUUUCGAUGGCAAGUCUGCUGGACGAAUUGUUAUGGAGCUCAGAGCUGAUGUUGUACCAAAGACAGCAGAGAACUUCCGUGCCUUGUGUACUGGCGAGAAGGGAUUCGGCUUCAAAGGAUCGAGCUUCCACAGGAUUAUUACAGGGUUCAUGUGCCAAGGUGGUGACUUCACUCGAGGCAAUGGCACUGGAGGAAAGUCCAUCUAUGGAGAGAAGUUUGCUGAUGAGAACUUUACGCUGAAGCACAAUGGCCCCGGAGAUUUGUCUAUGGCUAAUGCUGGUCCCAACACAAAUGGCUCCCAAUUCUUCAUUUGUGUGGCCAAGACCACAUGGCUUGAUGGCAAGCACGUUGUGUUUGGUAAGGUCAUUAGCGGCUAUGACGAGGUAGUGAAAAAAAUGGAGGCUCUUGGUAGCGAUAGUGGAAAAACAAGCAAGAAAGUGACCAUUGCAGACUGUGGACAACUCUAAAAGAUGAACAGUUGGAUAAACUUUGAGACUUAGUUUUUAAUUGAACACUUGAAUAUGUAGGUGAUUGUGUGCAUGCACAAAAUGAUGUCUAGUAUUGUGACGUUGCGUAGCUAUGACUUCAAUUAUCACUACCUUAUAUGGGCAAA
Molecule: RNA transcript, 753 nt
Organism: Halichondria panicea
Lineage: Eukaryota; Metazoa; Porifera; Demospongiae; Suberitida; Halichondriidae
Gene name: peptidyl-prolyl cis-trans isomerase-like
Exons: 6
Source: RefSeq, a predicted model, not a curated record